Molecule: ribosomal RNA, 522 nt
Filed under: Triticum aestivum (bread wheat)
Lineage: Eukaryota; Viridiplantae; Streptophyta; Magnoliopsida; Poales; Poaceae
Description: partial small subunit ribosomal RNA
Source: RNAcentral
AUGCUCGUGGAGUGGAAGGAGAAGUGUUUGUCUUUUGUAGGGAAGGAGUUCCUAUUGAAAUCUAUUGCACUAGCUAUACCAACUUACACGAUAUUAGUCUACAAAAUUCCUAAUAAAAUUUGCAAAGGAAUCACGGAUGCAAUAUCAAGUUUUUGGUGGCGUGAUGAUGCUACACAGAAGAAGAUGCACUGGUUCGCGUGGUGGAAGAUGUGUAUACCUAAGAAGAAAGGGGGCAUGUGAUUAAGAGAUAUCAUUGCUUUAAUAUGUGUUACUAGAAAAUAUGCAUGGUGGAUGAUUGACAAUCCUGAUUCAUUAUGUGUUGUCAUUCUUAAAGAAAAGAACUUACUCAAUGGAGAUCUCGUGAAUGCUACAUUGAAGAAGAAAGCAUCAAACACGUGGCAAAGCAUAAUGGUAGGAGUUGAUACUUUGAGGAAAGGUUAUAUGUGGAGAAUUGGUGAUGGUUUAAUGUUAAUAUUUGGGAUGAUCCAUGGAUACCUCAGUCACCAUCGAGGAAAAUCUUAA